This 253-nucleotide ribosomal RNA is filed under the name uncultured bacterium. RNAcentral describes it as "partial 16S ribosomal RNA". It matches the Rfam family "Bacterial small subunit ribosomal RNA", at positions 524 to 776 of the family's 1533-position model. The record is from RNAcentral.
UACGAAGGGUGCAAGCGUUACUCGGAAUUACUGGGCGUAAAGCGUGAGUAGGUGGUUUCUUAAGUCUGCUGUGAAAGCCCCGGGCUCAACCUGGGAAUUGCAGUGGAUACUGGGAAGCUAGAGUGCGGUAGAGGGUAGUGGAAUUCCCGGUGUGGCGGUGAAAUGCGUAGAGAUCGGGAGGAACACCAGUGGCGAAGGCGGCUACCUGGACCAGCACUGACACUGAGUCACGAAAGCGUGGGGAGCAAACAGG